AUCUACAGCCAUGCUACCCUGAAUAAGCCCAAUCCCGUCUGAUUUCAGAAGCUAAGCAGGGUCAGGCCUGGUUAGUACUUGGAUGAAAGACCACCUAGGAAGACUAGGUGCUGUAGGAA
RNAcentral lists this ribosomal RNA (119 nucleotides) under Pteropus alecto (black flying fox). The record is from RNAcentral. Lineage: Eukaryota; Metazoa; Chordata; Mammalia; Chiroptera; Pteropodidae.